Molecule: long non-coding RNA, 1706 nt
Organism: Cyprinus carpio carpio
Lineage: Eukaryota; Metazoa; Chordata; Actinopteri; Cypriniformes; Cyprinidae
Source: Ensembl
CCUUUCUUCCCUGCUGCUUCAACUCUUUCUCCCCUGUCUCAUGGCAGCCCCUCAGCUCACCCUCAGCCAACCAUCUGUGCGACGGGAUCGCCGCAGGUCUGCCAGUCUCCAUCGGCAUUGUGGCUGGAGGAUCCUUUUUCUCUGCCUCUAGCCUCUGAGUCCUGGACUCCACCUCGACCCAUCGACCCAGCAGCUCCACCAUGGCUCCUAGCUUCCUCAUCUCAACCGAUGCCCAUCAGUCCACCAGCUCCGCCGGUCUCCCUAGUCCCUUUGGCUGCCGCCUUUGUUUAGUCAUCAACCAUCCGCCGCCUUGGGACUCCAUUCGUCUGGCUGCGCCUCAUCCCUACAGCUCUGUCAGACUCCUUCUUCCCUCCAGCUCCACCUUGGUCCUCUCUCGCUCUAGCUCCACCGUGGCCUUCUGGAUACCCGCCACCGCCUCAGUCGCCAGUGCCAUCUGCUCUGCCUUGGCCCUCUGGAUCCUCCCUGUCGCCCUGGCUCAUCGGCUCUCCGUCUCCGCCUUGGGCUCCAACACCACCUGCUCCGACACCAUCAGUCGUCCCCUGGAGUCAGCCCUUCUUCCACCAUGGCUCCUCCCUCCAUCGGCUUCACCAUGGGUCGCCUUCAUGGCUGCGGCCUGGGUCCUGCCUGGAUCCUCCUGCUCCAAGGUCCUCCUGUCUUCUCCCUGGCUCCUCCCUCUGUCUUCGCCACCCUGGCUCCUUCUGUCUCCAUUCAUCCUCUAUUUUGCUGUUAAACUCUUAAUAUGAAUGUCUGCAUGACACAUACAAUUCAACGCUGUCGGAGUGAACAAGUCUUCUUGAGAGAGUUGUGAGUGAGGGUGAUCCAGCUAUUUUACGUAUUUUGGACUUGCCUUUUCCACUUAAUCUGACACUUUAGAAAGCUAAUUAAGUAGGACAUUGCAGUUUAGGGUCAGCAAUAUCUUUAUAUUAUCUUAUUUGCAAAAGAUUUGAAAUAAUUUUGGUUUAUUUAACAAUUUAUAUAGAAAUAUCUGGCAACACUGCAUCGCCGGCACUUUAACUGACAGAAAUCAAAAAAGCCCAUGGAAAGGUUAUUGCUGACAGGAUACACAUUCAGUCAGAAACAUUAUCAAUGCUGUCAAAACAGUAGCAUUUAACACUAGUACACAGUAAAAUCAGUGGUGUUAAUUAAGCAGUUACUCUCCAUCUACUCUUAAGGAGUUAACAUAACAACAAAUAGUGAAAAAUGCCUCCCAGUGUUGGUGAAAAUGAUCAGAGUUGAAUUUCUGCAUUGUUAAUUUUACUCCGUUAAACUCCACCCCUCAAGCCACCCCCGAAGACCAGAGCAAAAGUUCUGCUACUAUUAAUGCAUAAGAACUUUGUGUAAUUUGAUUGAUUUAAACUCUGAAAUAUUGAAUAGGUUUUGAAUAGGCAAGUCAGAAUGUUGGAGAAACGUGCCUUUUCUUCUCAAUGUGGUAAUGAUGAAUUUUAAAUGAUGUCCGUAAUCUUACUUAAUUUGAUUUUCAGCUGUAUUAAACUUUGGAAUAUCUGCUUAAUUUGUUUAUUAAACGUUUAUGUAACAUCACAAUGAGGCAUAAGCUGACAUUUUUAUAGAAAUUAUAUGAUGUUAUGUAAACCGUUGGCAUGUUAUAUAAACUCUAUAUUUGCUACUGUUCAGCUCACGAAAGACUAAGUGUGUCCAACGGCAUUACUUUCUGUUUCCAUUAUUUU